AGUCCCCGGGGCGUCCCGGGGAAACUUGGACGUAUUGCCUUGGGCUCUCAGCAGAUGAUCCUCUAGGCACCGCAGCCCGCAGCUCUGGCAGAUGAGACCAUGACCCACGUGUUGGCAGGAGGCCAGAGACAAGAGGACCCAGAGAGGUUUGGCUACCAUCGAACACACAGCCAGCCAGGGCUGAGAUGGCAAUUCACCCUGACCCUGCUCUUCACUGCCUCUUGGUAACCCUGUGCUCCCUCAAACCCCGCCUCUUCCCGCUUCUUCCGUUCUUGCUGUGGACUCUCCUGAGCUGUGAUUUGAGGGGUGCUGCCCAGUAGGGUCCGGGAGAGUGGACGCCCUGGGGGUCUUGGAGCAGGUGUUCCAGCUCUUGUGGUCGGGGCGUCUCAGUGCGCAGACGCCAAUGUGUCCGACUUCCCGGAGAGGAACUUUGUUGGGGCGACAGCCAUGAAUACCGGGUGUGCCAGCUGCCGGACUGCCCUCCAGGGACCACACCAUUCCGAGACCUGCAGUGUUCUCUCUACAAUGGCCACCCUGUCCUGGACACCCAGAAAACCUACCAGUGGGUGCCCUUCCACGGGGCGCCCAAUGUGUGUGACCUCAACUGCCUAGCUGAAGGCCACGCCUUCUACCACAGCUUUGGCCGCGUGCUGGAUGGCACCCCCUGCACCCCGGGUACCCAGGGUCUCUGCGUGGCAGGCCGCUGUCUGAGCGCAGGCUGUGACGGGAUACUGGGCUCCGGCACCCUCGAGGACCGCUGCGGCCUCUGUGGUGGCGCUAACGACUCUUGCCUGUUCGUGCAGCGCGUGUUCCGCGACGCCGGUGACUGUCCCAUUCUGACUCACCACCAGCGCUUGAGAAACACAGUGGAGAGGGGUGUCCCUUUAACAAGUUUGGCUCCUGGGAGCCAAGGCUCUUGUUGAUUGGGCUUCCCCUGAUUGGCCUCUGACAGAGCGUCCCACCCUCCCUCGAAUAGAUGCGCUUUUAACCCCUUUCCUGCCUCCCCUCAGUAUCAUCUCAUUUAUCCGCAGCUAUCGGUCCCUGAGCACAGUAUCGCACCCAAAGUGUACCUUGCCGCUGCGAGCCCCAGAGCAUCCCUCCCCUGCGCACCCCAGAGCGUCCCUCGCCUGUGUACCCCAGAGCAUCCCUCCCCUGCGCAACCCAGAGCGUCCCUCGCCUGUGUACCCCAGAGUAUCCCUGCUCUGCGUACUCCAGAGCAUACUUCCCCUGUGUACCCCAGUGCGUCCCAGUUCAUCCCACCACAACGCACCCCUGCACACACCAGCGCAUCCCAGAAAAUCCUGCCGCGCUACACCGCAACCCUCCGCCUGCCUCAGGUGCCUUCGCCGGCUUCUGGAAUGUGACUUUGAUCCCCGAGGGCGCCAGGCACAUCCGCGUAGCACAGCGCAGCCACAACCACCUGGCGCUGGUUACCCGCGGCGGGCACUACGUGCUCAACGGUGAUGGGGUGCUCAGCCCGCCUGGCACCUACGAGGCUGCGGGCACCCGAGUGGUUUACACCCGGAGUGCGGGCCCAGAGGAGACUCUGCAGGCGACCGGCCCCACCUCCCAGGAGCUGCUGUUACAGGUGCUGCUGCGGGAGCCCAACCCAGGCGUACACUUCGAGUUCUGGCUGCCCCGGGAGCGCUAUGGCCCCUUUCAGGCUCAGGUGCAGGCCCUGGGCUGGCCCUUGCGACAGCCUCAGCCUCGGGAGGUGGAGCCACAGCCUGCAGAGACUCCUGUAGUCCCCGAGGCCAUCCCUGCCCGUGUUGCAUCCCUGCCACCAGACCCCUGCGGGCCAUGCCCCGACAGCCGUGGUCGCGCACACCGGCUUCUUCACUACUGUGGCAGCGACUUUGUGUUCCAGGCCCGUGUGCUGGGCCGCCACCGCCAGGCCCAGGAGACCCGCUACGAAGUGCGGGUCUUGCUCAUCUACAAAAGCCGCACGCCUCUGCGUACUCGAGAAUAUGUAUGGGCACCAGGCCACUGUCCGUGCCCACCACUGGCCCCACACCGAGAAUACCUGUUGGCUGCCAGGCGACUCGUAAGCCCUGAUGGCACGCAGGAUCGGCUACUGCUGCCUCACGCUGGCUAUGCUCGACUCUGGAGUCCCGCGGAGGACAGCAGAGUUCGGCUGGCUGCCCGGCGCUGUCCAGUCUAAACCCCUGGAGGUUGGAUCCUCAGCAGGGCUCCUGUUCUGGCGUCCCAUGACUCAGGAAAACCUCCCACCUGGAAGCUCAUAUAUUUUAACCAGGGUCUCCCUGACUGGCCUGGAACUCUGUGUAGACCAGGCUAACCUUGAAGUUAUGGUAAUCCACCUGCCUCUGUCUCUGCAGUGAGUGCUGGGAUUAAAGGUGCACUCCAUAUCUGAGAACUUUAAGGAGCUUCAAGAUCCUGGGCUACUUUUCCGCGAAACAACUUUCUGUUCAUCUCUUUUCAAGUUACUAUUUAAUUUUUACAAGAACGUGGAAAAAGAACAAAUCCCUCGCCCCUCACUUCCUGAGCUAUAGGGACUCCAGGACACCCUAGAAGAGUGGCAGGCAUUGUGCACAGACACACCCCCAUUCCCAUCUUUUCCUAAUCUGCCCGGACACCCAGUACAGACUAGCACAGGAAGUACGAGAGGUUUGGGCACACACAGGAACCGAUGUGCCUCCUCCUCAGUCCUCUAGGCUAUGGGUUCAUUUCCGCUGUAUAUCAUGGGUGUCUGUCCUACAGUCGCUCAGCAAAUCAUCCCCAGUGGGGUGUUCCUUAAGGCUAUCCCUUCUGAGUCCUGAAUCUGUCACGUGGUCUAACCAGUUGCCCCACCCUUCUGCCUCACAUCUGCUUCUGCUUCACACCCUUCUCACAUCUGCUAGCUCUGUCUGUGAACCACUUAGCUCUCCAAUGACUAUUUACUGAAUACCGACUGUAUGUGAAAGACCCAGCGAGUCCUGGGGAGAUGCCGUGCUGUGCCGGGAUAAGCAGGGGUCACUCUGUCUAACGGGCUUUCGAAGGUAGUCCCCCCAAACUCCACACAAUGUAGGUCCGUUCUACAGGGAUUUGUGGAUUCCUUGCGCCCCCUGGUGGCUGGACAUGGAUUCCCAGUUUGGGAGAUGGCCUACAAGUUGGCCUGCGGCAGCAAGCAGGCUUCAGGAACCUCACACAACUACAAUGGCUGGCCAAUGUGACACAAGAGACCAGGACAGAGUCAUCCCUGACAGGGUCCCUGUGCUGAGCCUGAUGCACCCGGCAGGAAGAGUAGCAGAAACAUGGCAGAAAGGCACACGAUGCUGGUCGCACUAUGGUGAGGCUGUUGGGCUCCCCUAAGCCUGGAGCUGUCCCAUGAGGCCCGGACAUGUUAAGAUUCAAUCUGAAGGGGAAAUAAAAAACCACGAGAAGACAGCUGCUGCCCCAGGCCUGUGAUCCCAGCACUUGGGAGCAGAAGCAGGAGGACCAUCACAAGUUCAGGGAAAUUUAAGGCUGCCCGUUUCAAAAUAAAAGGAAGGCCUGAG
RNA transcript from Mus musculus (house mouse), 3494 nucleotides. It is a transcript of the gene named ADAMTS-like 5, with no coding region annotated. The transcript is spliced from 12 exons. NCBI's taxonomy places the organism in Eukaryota, Metazoa, Chordata, Mammalia, Rodentia, Muridae. The record is from RefSeq and is marked validated.